GGUGAGAUGGCCGAGCGGUCUAAGGCGGCGGUUUAAGGCACAAGUCUCUUCGGAGGCGUGGGUUCGAAUCCCACUCUCGUCA
Molecule: non-coding RNA, 82 nt
Organism: Ascaris suum (pig roundworm)
Lineage: Eukaryota; Metazoa; Nematoda; Chromadorea; Rhabditida; Ascarididae
Source: Rfam